This 296-nucleotide unclassified non-coding RNA is filed under the name Hevea brasiliensis (rubber tree). Lineage: Eukaryota; Viridiplantae; Streptophyta; Magnoliopsida; Malpighiales; Euphorbiaceae. The record is from RNAcentral.
AAGAAGAGUAUUGAGUAGUAUAAAAAUUUUAUAAGUAUUAGUCUGAGACAUCCUAAUUACGUAGCUUCAUUCUCACUAAAAGACACAAAACUAACAGACACUUCAACAAAGCAAAAACAUGAAUCAGAUGAUUUCAGCAAUUCCCCUGUCAAUUCAAUGGAGUUAGCCCAGAAGGGGCUCAAAUUAUCAGCCUCUGAAGCAAAAUCAUGUCACCCAUGGACCAUGUUAAGCGUUUUUAGCUGUCGAAAUCAUUCACAGAUCCACCAUUGUCCCAGCAAGACUCAAUAUCUCACGGA